Molecule: long non-coding RNA, 1228 nt
Organism: Xenia sp. Carnegie-2017
Lineage: Eukaryota; Metazoa; Cnidaria; Anthozoa; Malacalcyonacea; Xeniidae
Exons: 3
Source: RefSeq, a predicted model, not a curated record
ACUUAACACAUGCUGCAUACAAAAAAAACAUGAACAUACAAUAUAUAAAGAACAUAGACAGACAUAUUGCGUGGAGUUGCAUGUAACAGCUUUCCCCUAUCAGACAGCAUAUGUUGUACAUCACUACAACAUUUAUUCACACGUCACACUAACAAACCACGUGAAAGAAAUGAACUUUUUCUAAAAGAGUUGACAGAUAGUGAAAGACAGAUAACUUUUCAGAUUUUGAUCGUGUAGUUUGUAUCUCAAAAACACACGGAUUCUGAGUGUUAAACAGCAAUAGGCUCUUCUAUCGAUUUAAGCGAUCACGCAGCUCAAAAUUUGAAAUCUUGUUAUUGAUCGUCGAAACCUGUUAUUAUUACUCAAUUGUUGCUAGGCAUUACAACAGAGUAAAAUUUAAGCAAUUGUCAUUCAAAUUGCAAUUAAGGAAAAACCUACCCGAAACCUAUCACUAGUUAUUUGAUAUAUCGAAAUUGUACAUAGAAAUUUGUGGAAAAUAGACCAUCAAGCGGAGGGGGAAGGCUAAGAUAUUAAAGUUUUGAAGUCUGCCCACUGAACCGUUCCCGUCUUGGAUCAUUGAUCUCGUUGAAUAGAAUUCCAAGCAACUCUUGUAAAAUAUUUAUUUUACAUCAUUGACGUGCUUCAACUCACCAAAUGUUAUGAGAUGGCGCAUUUUAAGUCAAUUUAAAGAAAUAUUAACUAGCAACAAACAUAACAAAACUGCAUUGGCAAGAUGUGGAAAGAUCUCACGACUCCGAGAAAUUAUACGUUAAGUCCAAAGAUUGAACAUGUUGAGGACUCGUCGCUUCGUUAACGUUUAUGUAUGACAAGGAACAGUACACUCGAACUGACUUCUAAAUGACAUCACACAAUUUCGUUUUUUGUCGUCUUCACAAGGUGUAAUGAUUAGCGCGGUGCUCGGGUGAGGAAAAUAUGAAAUUGGUAUGGUUUAACAAAACGUCAAAUACGUGGCGCGAGCCUAACCAAGGCAUGGACAGAGAUACAAUGAAAUAUUUGCUGUAUGCGAUGACGGAAGUUGGCCGUCGGCUUUCCAAGUGUAUGACUUAGAUUGAAGAAAGCGGUAUACAUGGAAAAGCGGUAAACCUUUUAUAACGCAAUCAUAACGCACGAGGUUCACCAGAUUAGUCUUGAAGUAUUUUAUCCAAGUUAAUUUGCAACUUAUGCUAGAACACGGAACACUUUAAUAUGCUGUACACGAAGUUGUGGA